This 358-nucleotide ribosomal RNA is filed under the name uncultured bacterium. Its description in RNAcentral is "bacterial SSU rRNA". It matches the Rfam family "Bacterial small subunit ribosomal RNA", at positions 30 to 288 of the family's 1533-position model. The record is from RNAcentral.
AUUGAACGCUGGCGGCAUGCUUUACACAUGCAAGUCGAACGGUAACGCGGGGGCAACCCUGGCGACGAGUGGCGAACGGGUGAGUAAUACAUCGGAACAUGUCCUGGAGUGGGGGAUAGCUCGGCGAAAGCCGGAUUAAUACCGCAUACGCUCUUCAGGAGGAAAGCGGGGGACCGUCUAGAAACUAGGCACUAGAGACUGGAAACUAGAUUAAUUGAGAUGCGGCUUUGCCGCGCCUUAUCAAUCUAGUCUCCAGUUUCUAGUCUCUAGUUUCUAGACGGCCUCGCGCUGCGGGAGUGGCCGAUGUCGGAUUAGCUAGUUGGUGAGGUAAGGCUCACCAAGGCGACGAUCCGUAGCU